GGCCUCAUGGCGCAGUGGUUCAGCGCCAGGAGACUCUCUUCGGAGGGUGCAGGUUCGAAUCCUGUCGAGGUUA
Gaeumannomyces graminis is the source of this 73-nucleotide transfer RNA. It matches the Rfam family "tRNA". From Rfam's summary of the family: Transfer RNA (tRNA) molecules are approximately 80 nucleotides in length. Their secondary structure includes four short double-helical elements and three loops (D, anti-codon, and T loops). The record is from Rfam. NCBI's taxonomy places the organism in Eukaryota, Fungi, Ascomycota, Sordariomycetes, Magnaporthales, Magnaporthaceae.